This 403-nucleotide ribosomal RNA is filed under the name uncultured bacterium. RNAcentral describes it as "bacterial SSU rRNA". It matches the Rfam family "Bacterial small subunit ribosomal RNA", at positions 355 to 774 of the family's 1533-position model. The record is from RNAcentral.
UAGGGAAUAUUGCAAAAUGGGCGAAAGCCCGAUGCAGCAACGCCGCGUGGGCGAUGAAGGCCUUCGGGUCGUAAAGCCCUUUUUGAGGGGAUGAGGAAGGACAGUACCCUCAGAAUAAGCCUCGGCUAACUACGUGCCAGCAGCCGCGGUAAAACGUAGGAGGCGAGCGUUAUCCGGAUUUACUGGGCGUAAAGCGCGUGCAGGCGGAUUGGAGUGUUGGAUGUGAAAGCUCCCGGCUUAACUGGGAGAGGUCGUUCAAUACUUCCAGUCUUGAGUGCAGUAGAGGGAAGUGGAAUUCCGGGUGUAGUGGUGAAAUGCGUAGAUAUCCGGAGGAACACCAGUGGCGAAAGCGGCUUCCUGGACUGUAACUGACGCUCAGACGCGAAAGCUAGGGUAGCAAACG